CUAAAAACUCUGCUAAAUUCUCCGUUCGAGCACUCCAUUCUUGUUGAGGCAGAGAACUGACUUGAGUGUCGGAGGGUCUUGCCGGAGCAACCCAACCUCCGGUUUAGACUUCCUUUGCAGGUCCCGGCGGCGACCGCGACUUCCUCGACUCCAGCUUCUCCGGUGCAAGUGGAUUUUUGCACCAACAGUCAGCAUAUCAAUAUGUCUAACCAGC
This 214-nucleotide long non-coding RNA is filed under the name Elaeis guineensis (African oil palm). RNAcentral's name for it is "long non-coding RNA (EGUI_LNC060785)". Lineage: Eukaryota; Viridiplantae; Streptophyta; Magnoliopsida; Arecales; Arecaceae. The record is from RNAcentral.